GAUACUGAAUAUAUUGAAUUAAUGCGUGGGCUGUGUUUGUGUGUCUUUCUUUCUCAAAUUCAAUAUAAUACAAAGGACGCAUGUCAGGUUGAUUAAUUGGAGUGAGAAAUAUGGUUAGACAGUCAUAUCCUUCUGAGGCACCGACGUUUACGUCCUUGAUUGCGUGCUGGCUGGUGUCUGUUACUCCGGUGUCGUAUUCGAAAUAAUCUACGUAUCAGCCGGUUCGUGGGCGCACACCCUUCACCUGAGCUGGCAGACCGGGUUCACUAAAAGUGAACCGGUCUCCCCCUCCGCCCAACGAAGCCCUUGUAGCCUACUUUCUCCCCCACCCCCCGAUCGAGUACAGGUUUGGAUGGCGUCGCGACGAAAGUGGCUUCUUCUUCUCUGCAAUUUCGACACCGGUACGCAUUUUUCCCAAACUUCUCACAUACUCUCUGUUAUUACUCACUCACACUUAGAUUCUCACCACUCACGCACACGCACUUUGAUUUCGCACUGAUAACCCAGACCCACAAAUUGUUUCCUCCCGUCGAGUAGUGCCACACAUCACGGUCAUCACGGUUGUCGGACGCCCCCAUGCCGGGCUGAGAGAAAAUCUCUAGUUUGUGUUGCUGAUAAUUAUACCUACCGGCUUCAUAUUUUAGAUGUCCUGCCCCUAUGCAAACAGGUUGAAGGAGGACAAGAAGUUGUAAACCAAGCAGAGAUGGAUGCCAUUUUCUCUAGCAAAUAAUUGGCUCUAAUUCUACUCUAAUUCUCAGUGCACAGACAUUAGAAGAUGCGAGCUUGCUUAGUUGAUUAUUUGGAGUCUUGUUGUUUAUAGUUUUGGAUUUCGAGUUUGGUCGAGUUGAUGUAUUCGAUCUUGCUCAGUUAAUGAUUUGAAUCUUUUAUGAUGUAUUCUCAUAUCAGUUCAUCCAUUGUAUAGUUUUGGAUUUCAAGUUUUUGAUGAUGUAUUCUCAAACUUGUUAUAGUUUUGGAUUUCAAGUUUUUAAUGAAGAA
Long non-coding RNA from Carya illinoinensis, 996 nucleotides. RefSeq lists it as uncharacterized. The record is from RefSeq and is a predicted model, not a curated record. Lineage: Eukaryota; Viridiplantae; Streptophyta; Magnoliopsida; Fagales; Juglandaceae. The transcript has 3 exons.